RNAcentral lists this ribosomal RNA (497 nucleotides) under uncultured bacterium. Its description in RNAcentral is "partial 16S ribosomal RNA". It matches the Rfam family "Bacterial small subunit ribosomal RNA", at positions 28 to 507 of the family's 1533-position model. The record is from RNAcentral.
GAUGAACGCUGGCGGCGUGCCUAAUACAUGCAAGUCGAGCGAACGGACGCGAAGCUUGCUUUUCUGAUGUUAGCGGCGGACGGGUGAGUAACACGUGGAUAACCUACCUAUAAGACUGGGAUAACUUCGGGAAACCGGAGCUAAUACCGGAUAAUAUUUUGAACCGCAUGGUUCAAAAGUGAGAGACGGUCUUGCUGUCACUUAUAGAUGGAUCCGCGCUGCAUUAGCUAGUUGGUAAGGUAACGGCUUACCAAGGCAACGAUGCGUAGCCGACCUGAGAGGGUGGUCGGCCACACGGGAACGGAGACACGCUCCAGACUCCUACGGGAGGCAGCAGUAGGGAAUGUUCCGCAAUGGGCGAAAGCCUGACGGAGCAACGCCGCGUGAGUGAUGAAGGUCUUCGGAUCGUAAAACUCUGUUAUUAGGGAAGAACAUAUGUGUAAGUAACUGUGCACAUCUUGACGGUACCUAAUCAGAAAGCAACGGCUAACUACGUG